UGCAGUUAUAAUCGUUGUUAACUGUCGCCGGAGGGAACCAAAAUAAGGCCGUUUUUUUUCUGCGUAGAAGAAUGGGAAGAGUAGCAAGAGCCAGCAAUGUUACUGUAAAUUGACACGAAGCGUAAGAAGGUAAGAGGUUGGCAAAUGGAACACUUUUUCCAUGCUCAGGUUACGCUGCUCGCUUGGUUUUGAUCUUUGACCCUGAAGGUGAUAGCACGAGUAUGUUUGCCCAAAAGGCCUAUGAGAUUGACCAAAAAUUGUCCCACAAUCGACGUGUUGGACCUGCCUGCUUUACAUGAUGCCACAUAAUCAGAAGUAAUCCAAGGCAACCGCAUAAAAGAGAAAACAGCUUUAUACUGUGCAGCAGAGUCCUUAAUCACAACAGCCUGUACAUGUGAAGAUGAAAUCAAGAUUACAGGAACUGGAUAUGGAACCAAACUGCUGCUUGAAAUAGGACCAGUCACACAGUCCCUGAUCACAGCCAUUAAUAUCCAGAAGGUGUUCGUUAAAGUAUAGCUGAACUCUGUAUGGCUCACCUGCAUCACAUCUUCCGUGCCGAGGCUAUGUAACAAGGACCGAUUGCCAUUAAUGGGAGAGAAUUGAGGCGGCAGUUAGAAGAGUGGGAGUUUGGUGUGAGAUGGCCACCAGCCUGUGAGGACAUGAGCCCGAGAGUGGAGGGACAUGUACCGUUGGAAGACAUUACCAAGCGGCAGAGUGAAUGCCGUGACUGAGAACACUGUUCUUUGUUUGAUAGUGAUUUGUAAAGUGUAGUCAUGAGUUGUGUGUUAAAAUGUCCAAUAAAUCCAAUUACCAAUCCAAAUCCCGUGUCUACUUAACAUGUGUAGACAGUAUUCUGAUGUACUUUCUUGGAAGAACUUAAUAAUUCUAUUUUAUUUUAAAUUUUUAUAUCUGUAUGGAGCCGAUAGUGGAAUGAUGUGCUUUUUAUUUAUCCUUCAGUAUAUUUGCUUGAAUGUAGAUAUCCUGUGUUGAAAGAUUUCCAGAUAUAACCACAAUGUGUCGCACCGUCUCUAUGUUUGAAAAUUUCAACAAAGAAAAUACUCCUACGUAAUUUUUUAGUAUGAACUUCAUAUCGAAGUUCACAUGAACAGUUACAGUGUUUCUUUAAUUACUGCUGUCAAAAUCAUUCUGAAUUUUCGCAGUCUCCAUGUUCGUGUUUUGUAUUUAAUCAACAGAUUUGUUUUAAAAUAAAUUGCAUACUUUUUCAGUGAGUUAUUUCUCCACAAAAACUCAUGCAGGUGUCACCAAAUACCCAGUAAGUUCACUUAAUGCACUUGACAAACACCAGAUCAACUCAAAAUUGAUUUGGGAUUGCCACCAAACUCUCAGGGACUGGACAAACAUAACGGUACCACUGAUAUGGGUGCUCGGGCAUGAGGGUAUUGCUGGAAACAAAAUAGCAGACCAAUUGGCUAAGGUUGGAGCUGAAU
This is a long non-coding RNA of Cryptotermes secundus, 1448 nucleotides long. RefSeq lists it as uncharacterized. NCBI's taxonomy places the organism in Eukaryota, Metazoa, Arthropoda, Insecta, Blattodea, Kalotermitidae. The transcript is spliced from 5 exons. The record is from RefSeq and is a predicted model, not a curated record.